Molecule: ribosomal RNA, 305 nt
Filed under: uncultured bacterium
Lineage: Bacteria
Description: bacterial SSU rRNA
Rfam family: Bacterial small subunit ribosomal RNA
Source: RNAcentral
UUGCCUACGGGACGCAGCAGUGAGGAAUAUUGGUCAAUGGCCGGAAGGCUGAACCAGCCAAGCCGCGUGAAGGACGAAGGUGCCAAGCAUUGUAAACUUCUUUUGUCAAGGGACAAAAUCAGGCUCGAGAGCCUGACCGAGGGUACUUGAAGAAAAAGCAUCGGCUAACUCCGUGCCAGCAGCCGCGGUAAUACGGAGGAUGCGAGCGUUAUCCGGAUUUAUUGGGUUUAAAGGGUGCGUAGGCGGGCUGUUAAGUCAGCGGUAAAAGCCCGGGGCCCAACCCCGGCGAGCCGUUGGGACUGGCG